RNAcentral lists this ribosomal RNA (1056 nucleotides) under Triticum aestivum (bread wheat). RNAcentral describes it as "partial small subunit ribosomal RNA". The record is from RNAcentral. Lineage: Eukaryota; Viridiplantae; Streptophyta; Magnoliopsida; Poales; Poaceae.
AUGGCGCCGGUUAACAGCUCGCGCCGCCUCAACGGCACACUGCUCGCGCUCGCGCUCGUGGCCGCCGCUGCCGUCGCCGACUUCGCCGCGGCGCGAGGGGUGCACACCGUGGCCGCCAGGCACGAGCUGUGGAUGGCCAAGUUCGGGCGCGCGUACGCGGACGCUGAAGAGAAACUGAGCCGGCAGGAGGUGUUCGCGGCCAACGCGCAGCACGUCGACGCUGUCAACCGGGCGGGCGACCGGACGUACACGCUCGGGCUCAACCAGUUCUCCGACCUCACCGACGACGAGUUCCUCGAGAUGCACCUCGGCUACCGUCACCAGCGCGGCGUGGACUACGCGCCGGUGGCAGCGGUGAACAUGUCCAAGGCUGCCGCUGGCCAGUUCCAGGACACGCCGGACAGCAUGGACUGGAGGGCCCAGGGUGCCCUCACCCAAGUCAAGAACCAGCUCUCCUGCGGGAGUUGCUGGGCGUUCGCGGCGGUGGCGGCGACGGAGGGGCUCGUGAAGAUCGCCACCGGCGACCUCAUCUCCAUGUCGGAGCAGCAGGUGCUCGACUGCACGGGCGGCGCCAACACCUGCAACGCCGGCGACAUCAACGCCGCGCUGCGCUACGUCGCCGCGAGCGGCGGCCUGCAGCCGGAGGCAGCCUACGCGUACAACGGCCAGCAGGGCGCGUGCCGCAGCGGCGGCGUCAUGCCAAACUCGGUCGCCUCCGUCGGCGCGCCGCGGUGGGCGACCCUGUACGGCGACGAGGGCGCGUUGCAGGAGCUCGCGGCCAGCCAGCCGGUGGCCGUGGGCGUGGAGGCAUCGGACCCUGACUUCCGGCACUACAUGAGCGGCGUGUACUCCGGUAGCUCGUCGUGCGGGCAGAGGCUGAACCACGCCGUGACGGUGGUGGGCUACGGGGCGGACGGCAGCGGGCAGGAGUACUGGGUGGUGAAGAACCAGUGGGGGACGGGAUGGGGCGAGGCGGGCUACAUGCGCCUCUCGCGCGGGAACGGCGCCAACUGCGGCAUCGCCACCUACGCCUACUACCCGACCAUGGACAGCUAA